This 51-nucleotide small nucleolar RNA is filed under the name Pyrobaculum arsenaticum DSM 13514. RNAcentral describes it as "PARsR128". The record is from RNAcentral. Lineage: Archaea; Thermoproteati; Thermoproteota; Thermoprotei; Thermoproteales; Thermoproteaceae. RNAcentral also lists the same sequence under 1 other name.
GUGAUGUUGUGUGCCGCCCCUGAGCCGUGAUGUCAUUCCUGUCGGGGCUGA